CCUACGGGAGGCAGCAGUGAGGAAUAUUGGUCAAUGGCCGGAAGGCUGAACCAGCCAUGCCGCGUGAAGGUCAGUGCCCUAUGGGCGUUAAACUUCUUUUGUGCGGGAGCAAUAAUGGUCACGUGUGGCCAGACGAGAGUACCGUACGAAUAAGCAUCGGCUAACUCCGUUCCAGCAGCCGCGGUAAUACGGGGGAUGCAAGCGUUAUCCGGAUUUAUUGGGUUUAAAGGGUGCGUAGGCUGUGAGGUAAGUCAGCGGUGAAAUGCCCCCGCUCAACGGGGUGAAGUGCCAUUGAUACUGCCUGGCUGGAAUGCGGAUGCCGUGGGAGGAAUGUGUGGUGUAGCGGUGAAAUGCAUAGAUAUCACACAGAACACCGAUUGCGAAGGCAUCUCACGAAGCCGCGAUUGACGCUGAUGCACGAAAGCGUGGGUAUCAAACAGGAUUAGAUACCCGGGUAGUC
RNAcentral lists this ribosomal RNA (460 nucleotides) under uncultured bacterium. Its description in RNAcentral is "partial 16S ribosomal RNA". It matches the Rfam family "Bacterial small subunit ribosomal RNA", at positions 338 to 795 of the family's 1533-position model. The record is from RNAcentral.